Molecule: ribosomal RNA, 305 nt
Filed under: uncultured bacterium
Lineage: Bacteria
Description: bacterial SSU rRNA
Rfam family: Bacterial small subunit ribosomal RNA
Source: RNAcentral
GGAACCUACGGGGCGCAGCAGUGGGGAAUAUUGGGCAAUGGGCGCAAGCCUGAUGGAGCAACGCCGCGUGGGUGAAGAAGGUCUUCGGAUCGUAAAACCCUGUUGUUAGAGAAGAAAGUGCGUGAGAGUAACUGUUCACGUUUCGACGGUAUCUAACCAGAAAGCCACGGCUAACUACGUGCCAGCAGCCGCGGUAAUACGUAGGUGGCAAGCGUUGUCCGGAUUUAUUGGGCGUAAAGGGAACGCAGGCGGUCUUUUAAGUCUGAUGUGAAAGCCUUCGGCUUAACCGGAGUAGUGCAUUGGAA